AUUGAACGCUGGCGGCAGGCUUAACACAUGCAAGUCGAGCGAGCGGCGGACGGGUGAGUAAUGUCUGGGAAACUGCCUGAUGGAGGGGGAUAACUACUGGAAACGGUAGCUAAUACCGCAUACCAUCAGAUGUGCCAAGAUGGGAUUAGCUAGUAGGUGGGGUAAUGGCUCACCUAGGCGACGAUCCUUAGCUGGUCUGAGAGGAUCACCGUCAACCCUGGAACUGGGACACGGUCCAGAGUCCUACGGACGGCAGCAGUGGGGACGAUUGCACAAUGGGCGCUAGCCUGAUGCAGCCAUGCCGCGUGAGUGAAGAAGGCCUUCGGGUUGUAAAGCACUUUCAGCGAUGAGGCGUUACUCGCAGAAGAAGCACCGGCUAACUCCGUGCCAGCAGCCGCGGUAAUAC
Molecule: ribosomal RNA, 406 nt
Filed under: uncultured bacterium
Lineage: Bacteria
Description: partial 16S ribosomal RNA
Rfam family: Bacterial small subunit ribosomal RNA
Source: RNAcentral